ACAUGCUAAAAACCCCGACUUCGGAAGGGGUGUAUUUAUUAGAUAAAAAACCAAUGCCCUCUGGGCUCUUUGGUGAUUCAUAAUAACUUAACGAAUCGCAUGGCCUUGCGCCGGCGAUGGUUCAUUCAAAUUUCUGCCCUAUCAACUUUCGAUUGUAAGAUAGAGGCUUACAAUGGUAUUAACGGGUAACGGGGAAUUAGGGUUCUAUUCCGGAGAGGGAGCCUGAGAAACGGCUACCACAUCCAAGGAAGGCAGCAGGCGCGCAAAUUACCCAAUGCUAAUUCAGCGAGGUAGUGACAAUAAAUACUGAUACGGGGCUCUUUCGGGUCUCGUAAUUGGAAUGAGUACAAUCUAAAUCCCUUAACGAGGAACAAUUGGAGGGCAAGUCUGGUGCCAGCAGCCGCGGUAAUUCCAGCUCCAAUAGCGUAUAUUAAAGUUGUUGCCGUUAAAAAGCUCGUAGUUGAACCUUGGACCUGGCUGAUCUGUCCUCCUAAUCGAGCGCACGGAUUCGGUCGGGUCUUUCCUUCUGGGGAGCCCUAUGCCCUUCACUGGGUGUAGUGGGGAACCAGGACUUUUACCUUGAAAAAAUUAGAGUGUUCAAAGCAGGCCUUUGCUCGAAUACAUUAGCAUGGAAUAAUAGAAUAGGACAUCGGUUCUAUUUUGUUGGUUUCUAGGACCGCUGUAAUGAUUAAUAGGGAUAGUCGGGGGCGUCAGUAUUCAAUUGUCAGAGGUGAAAUUCUUGGAUUUAUUGAAGACUAACUACUGCGAAAGCAUUCGCCAAGGAUGUUUUCAUUAAUCAGUGAACGAAAGUUAGGGGAUCGAAGACGAUCAGAUACCGUCGUAGUCUUAACCAUAAACUAUGCCGACUAGGGAUCGGACGGUGGUUUUUUUAUGCCCCGUUCGGCACCUUACGAGAAAUCAAAGUUUUUGGGCUCGGGGGGGAGUAUGGUCGCAAGGCUGAAACUUAAAGAAAUUGACGGAAGGGCACCACCAGGCGUGGAGCCUGCGGCUUAAUUUGACCCAACACGGGGAAACUCACCAGGUCCAGACAUGCUUAGGAUUGACAGAUUGAUAGCUCUUUCUUGAUUGUAUGGGUGGUGGUGCAUGGCCGUUCUUAGUUGGUGGAGUGAUUUGUCUGCUUAAUUGCGAUAACGAACGAGACCUUGACCUGCUAAAUAGCCAGGUUGACUUUUGUCGGCCGCCGGCUUCUUAGAGGGACUUUUGGCUCAAGCCAAUGGCAA
This 1241-nucleotide ribosomal RNA is filed under the name metagenome. Its description in RNAcentral is "SSU rRNA". It matches the Rfam family "Eukaryotic small subunit ribosomal RNA", at positions 169 to 1443 of the family's 1831-position model. The record is from RNAcentral.